Molecule: ribosomal RNA, 779 nt
Filed under: uncultured Neocallimastigales
Lineage: Eukaryota; Fungi; Neocallimastigomycota; Neocallimastigomycetes; Neocallimastigales
Description: partial large subunit ribosomal RNA
Rfam family: Eukaryotic large subunit ribosomal RNA
Source: RNAcentral
CGUCUAUAUACGUAUAGCAUAUCAAUAAGCGGAGGAAAAGAAACUAACUAGGAUUCCCUCAGUAACGGCGAGUGAAGCGGGAAGAGCUCAAAUUUGAAAUCUUCAAGGUUCUACCUUGACGAAUUGUAGUUUAAAGAAGUGUUUUCUGUUGGAGUUUUGGUAAAAGUUCUUUGGAAUAGGACAUCAUAGAGGGUGAGAAUCCCGUAUUUGACCAUUAUUUCCAACUUUGUGAUACACUUUCAAAGAGUCGGAUUGUUUGGGAAUGCAGUCCAAAAUGGGUGGUAAAUUUCAUCUAAAGCUAAAUACUGGCGAGAGACCGAUAGCGAACAAGUACCGUGAGGGAAAGAUGAAAAGAACUUUGAAAAGAGAGUUAAACAGUACGUGAAAUUGUCAAAAGGGAAGCGUUUGACACCAGUGUUGUUUUCUCGAAAAUCAAUUAAAAAUGGCUGGAUUUUGUGUUGUAUUGACCUUUAAUCAGCUUUCUUCACUUUUUUCAUUGUCUUUUUUAAUGCACUUUUCGUUUAAACAAGUCAACAUCAGUUUCUUUUGCUGUAAAAGAGUCAUUGGAAGGUGGCUUUCUUUUCGGAGAAAGUGUUUAUAGCCUUUGACUUCUGCAGUCGGAGAGAUUGAGGUCUGCAGCGUAGAUUCCUUCGGGGUUAGAUACAUUUGUGCUAAGUUAUAGCCUUUCAUAGACAACUUGUUGACUAUGAUCAGUCAUGUAGCUUACUCGCUUAUGUCAUUUUACCUACGCUUAGGAUGUUGACGAUCAGCUGAGCGCG